This 411-nucleotide ribosomal RNA is filed under the name uncultured bacterium. Its description in RNAcentral is "bacterial SSU rRNA". It matches the Rfam family "Bacterial small subunit ribosomal RNA", at positions 505 to 916 of the family's 1533-position model. The record is from RNAcentral.
GUGCCAGCAGCCGCGGUAAUACGUAGGACGCAAACGUUGUCCGGAUUUACUGGGUGUAAAGGGUGCUCAGGCGGUCUCGUAAGUCAGUGGUGAAAUCCCGGAGCUCAACUCCGGAACUGCCUCUGAUACUGCGGGGCUUGAGUGCAGAAGAGGCGGAUGGAAUUUCUGGUGUAGCAGUGAAAUGCGUAGAUAUCAGAAAGAACACCAGUGGCGAAGGCGGUCCGCUGGUCUGUCACUGACGCUAAAGCACGAAAGCGUGGGGAGCAAACAGGAUUAGAUACCCUGGUAGUCCUAGCCCUAAACCAUCAGGACUUGGCGUGGGCCCCGUCCGGGGUCCGUGUCGUAGCCAACGUGAUAAGUCCUGCGCCUGGGGAGUACGGUCGCAAGGCUGAAACUCAAAUGAAUUGGCGG